RNAcentral lists this long non-coding RNA (1958 nucleotides) under Mus pahari (shrew mouse). RNAcentral's name for it is "lncRNA (MGP_PahariEiJ_G0005886.1)". The record is from RNAcentral. Lineage: Eukaryota; Metazoa; Chordata; Mammalia; Rodentia; Muridae.
AACAUUGAUGUCUUCUAGAAGCGUUUGGAGCCUGGGCAUCCUGAUCUGUCUCCCCAGCUGCUGCCCUCCUCAUCUUCCCUAUUAAUCUGCAAAUCCCUCUCUACGUAGUUAUCCUUUCUGGGGUGGGUCUCAGGGGUAAAACCUCAUCUUCAUCUUCUUCAGUGUCCUCUUCACUCCACUGGACCACAGCUGUGGUGUCCCGGGCCCUCUGCUUCAGAACAGCUUUCAAUAGGCAACAACUUUUUCUUCUCAUCCUCAAGAGUUAAGAGUCAGCUCCAUAGUCAUCCGCCAUAUCGAAGAUCCCUCUGGGUCACCACACCAUCUUCCUCAGUCUUCUUCCUCAUCCCCUCACUUUUCUGAAUUGGUGCUGGGCACUUCUUACCUCGAACCUGAACAGCUAUUUUGGAUAACUCUUCAAGCAAUGUUUUGACCCCAGGAUACUUAUUUGGCUUAUGGACUUCAACAGACCCUGCCCUCCUCUUGGCUGCCCUUUUUAGAGCACAACUUGACAGCCUCUUGAAAUUCUCAUCCCUAGCUGCAGGCAAAAAUCUGACUAGUUCGGUCCCUUCACCCUUCUGGUUUUGGGCCUUUCAGCCUGGCCCAUGUGUCUCCUUCUUUGUAGGAUUCAACUUGGGCCCAGUGAUAACUGAAGGCUCAGCUUGCCUAGACCUGGUUGAGGCAGACCCAGCACCUCCAGUCAAGGCCUGCUCCACGUGGUCUUGAGGAAGAGCAGGAAUUACAUUCUUUAGUAUAACAGCCAGUAUUCUUGAGACAAAUUUAAGUUGAUCUUAUUAUUUUAAGGAAAAUUACAUAGGACAUAUGUUCUCUGUGGCAGUGAUAUUCUGCCAGUCACUUAUGAAAAGAGCCAGACAAUUAACAUCACAGUUUCCAGUGAUUGGUCUCACUUUAAAGCUAAAUGUUGACAUGAACAAUAUACAAGGGAAAUACCGAAGUUGGUAAUCUGGACUGCCUCAAUUAUUUGUUUUUUUUUAAUCAUCCUUAGGAAUAGCAUAAGAAUAGAAGGUUAUGUGUUGAAGCAUGACACUUCUAUGGUCCUUUUAAACAGUUCUGAUGGAAUGUGUCUCAAUGAACACUUUCAAAUCCCAUCUAGCUCAUUAUUUAAUCGUCUACAUAUUGUUGGAAAAGUAUAAGGUUGUCAUGACAACUAGAGAGAUAAUUUAGUCAACAUAACUCAUUCCAUAUAACAUAAUAAUUUUGCCUUUGUUUAAAAAUAUUUCUAUAAAUAUUCAUAUUCUGCAUUUUAAUAGUAUGCUUUAUAUUAGAAUGUGUGGACCCCAGAAUUAAAUAAGACCUCUCAGAUCCUGCCACUAUUGUCAAGUACCAUUAUUCUUCUCUAGCUGAAGUCACCACCUUGGUCAUUGAAGGUAUUAUCCAUGCCCCCAGGCAUAAUAAAGCUCAGGAGGAAUUCUUUCCUGACAUAGAGUUUGCUGAGCAUAAAAAUGAGGUUAAUCCUACAAAAAAGGUUCAGAGGAAAGAAUUCGACAUCUAAGUGGAGCACAUCAUUCAAUUUGCAAGACCUAUAGUGGGCAGACAUUGGGACUGGAAAAAGGGAUGAAAGUCAAGAGUACUUCGUGGGAGUAAGGAGGGUCAUAGCUAGUAUCUAGUUAUGAAACUAUUUAAUGAAAUUAAUGCACUUGAAGUUAUUUCUUUAUAAUUUUUACUUCUUCCCUAGUGAGAAAAUGCAAGAUGUUCAUUCAUAUGAAUAAAUAUGUGACUAUAUCAAUAAAAUCAUAAGCAUUUUUGAAAAUUUUAUAUUGUUAAAUUGCUUGAAUAACAGAAGUAAAAGAACACCUAAAUUAAGACUAAAUAUAAUCUAUAACAUCAUUUUUUUUUCUGUCUUCAUUCAGUGAGCUUUGUGAAACAGAAGUAUAAACAUACAUACAUUGCAGUGUUCCUUAGAAGACAGGUUAGAAUUUGGGUUAUGUGGGAAAAAUAAA